Long non-coding RNA from Echinops telfairi (small Madagascar hedgehog), 509 nucleotides. RefSeq lists it as uncharacterized. The transcript has 4 exons. NCBI's taxonomy places the organism in Eukaryota, Metazoa, Chordata, Mammalia, Afrosoricida, Tenrecidae. The record is from RefSeq and is a predicted model, not a curated record.
ACUAGAAAUCUGGUACUACUGUUGCACAUUGAAGCAUCACAAGGAAGGAUUUCAACUUCUGAGUGGGUUGUGAAUCAAAUCCAUUCACCUGACUCCAAGCAGGUUCACCAAGGGGUCACUUUUCUACCCGAAAACAAAAUUUAGGAUCAUCAGUGACUCAAGGUACAAUUCUUUGGGACAGCAUCUUGACAGCCAUACCUGCAGAGUUGGACUUCUAUCCUCAAGAUCAGAGGUACACGCCCAUUAGCAUCCUGUCGUGUAUUUAGAGUCUCGGAAGCUUUGUACAGCAGUUCCCCUGUGUCCUAUCUGCAGCUUAUACGUCUAACUCUACUUGAUGCCUGCAGAUGGUGCAUCACCAGCAGCUUAGACGAAGGAGGAAGGAACUGCCUGGUGUUGUUAUUUUUGUGAUGUCCUCAUGAGAGAUUGAAAUUUGUGAGCAUCAUUAGAGCUGAUCCAGAUAAGACAAACAUAGAGCAUCCCAGUUGCUGGCAGUGUUAUAAGGACCAAAG